UUGGCACAGGCAGAGGUGGUCUGGCUGAAGGGUUGGAGUGUAAUCAUUACAUUUUAUUCGUUUGACAUUGUUACACUGAAACAAUUCUUUGUUCCACAUUAAAUGUAGAAAAUAAAAAAGGUUGGGACGGCGCUGGAUUUUCAAGGUGCAAUCGGCACGUUUUUUGACUGAGCGACUGACUUCUACAUAAUAAGACAAUGUGCAAGAAUCCAGUAUAUCAUGAUUUUGGUGACACCUUUGGCAGCACGCUUUGACCAAAGGGAGUUUUGUCGACAGUGGGGCCCGAGGAUAAGCAAGCGGGGGCUGAACCUGUUCCGGCCUGCACUGCCCUCUGCAGCACCUCUGAUCCACACUCAGUCAAAUUUCUCCGAGCGCUGCUGGAUCACACGGGUUAAUCUCUCCUGACCCCCGACUCCUCAAAAGCACAAGCCUGGCUCUUUUGGACUCGGUCCCGGUGUGAGUGCUUUGCAGUGCCAUGGAAGUAGACCCCGCUCACGUCCCCUAGUUCACUGGCACCAGUUGUGCAGACUUCGGAGCAGUGAAGAUAAGGUACAAGAAUGUCAGGAAGCCUGACACCAAUGAGCAGUAUGGUAAACAAACAGUUGCAGACGUCUGCCCGCAUCCCCUGCCCCUUAACGACCCUCAAUUCCACCCUUUUAAAUGUCAAGCUGUAAAAUAUGGUUCUUCAGUGGGACUGUUAGUUAAACAAAUCACGCUGCAUUAACUAAACUGUCAAACAUUUGAGCGUCAAUUUUUUUUGUUAUUACUGAAUCAUGCCUGAUUUUAAGUUGUGUCAAAAAGCAAAGUUUAAUAACACAAAUAAGACUUAAUAUAGCUGAGACAUAAUACAAUCACUGCAUAACAUUUACUAGGUUUUACAGACAAUAUUAUGUAUAUUAUAAUAAUAUGUUCUGAUUUUUUGUAUGAGAUUAAUUGAGAUGUUUCUAUGUUUUAAUUGUAACAACUUGCCUCCUGAUGCUGCCUUUUUGGCCAAGUCGUUAUUGUAAAUGAGAAUUGGUUCUCAAUUGACUUAUCUGGUUAAAUAAAGCUAAAAAAAAAUAUUAAAGAAAUUAA
Long non-coding RNA from Anoplopoma fimbria (sablefish), 1074 nucleotides. RefSeq lists it as uncharacterized. The transcript is spliced from 4 exons. The record is from RefSeq and is a predicted model, not a curated record. Lineage: Eukaryota; Metazoa; Chordata; Actinopteri; Perciformes; Anoplopomatidae.